Herpailurus yagouaroundi (jaguarundi) is the source of this 1926-nucleotide long non-coding RNA. RefSeq lists it as uncharacterized. The transcript is spliced from 2 exons. The record is from RefSeq and is a predicted model, not a curated record. Lineage: Eukaryota; Metazoa; Chordata; Mammalia; Carnivora; Felidae.
GGCGUGGAGAGGGCCGGGCCUGCGAGGAAGACGCCAGGCCUGAAGGCUAGCGAGCUGCGGACUGGAACGAGGAGGGCGAGGCGGCGGCGCAAAGCUUCGGGCGGGCGAGGGGUUUCCCCAGGACUGCCUCCGGCUCAGAGAGGCGGGAUCCCGCCAGGACGGGGUCCCUAAGGGAGGAGAACGGCACACGACGACCCAGAUUCCUCUCCUGCCGGGCAGGGACCUCCUUAGACUUUUCCUGGUGGGUCGACCCCUUACGGAAAUCCCCCAAAGCUCACCCGAUACACACCCUCGGCAACCGAGCCACCUCCUGCCGCGGGGAAGCCAGAGUAAAAGUAGGAACAUCCUAGAAGACUAAUAAGUGGUUUUCUAGCGUUUAGAGCCAGGGACGUGGUGAGACGCCCUCCCUCUCGGAGGCAUCCCCCCAGUGGGGGUCCCACUUGAUUGUCGAAGACUUUCCUGUGAGGUCCUCCCUCUGCAGACUUCUCUGAUGGGUCCGCUCUGUUUUAGAACUUGUCACUGUAUCUUUUGGGUCGGAGAGGGAAACUUUGGGUAAAAAUAUCGAGAACUUAGAUACUGGCGCGGUGAAAUAGUACAAUGAAGAACCUAGAUACUGGCGCGAAGUUCCGAGGAAAGGCAUUGAGGAAGAGGAUUUUCAUUCUUAAAUUUUUCUGAAAGUCUAUUAUGUGUAUUUUAUGUCAGGUUUGGGGUUAAAAACCUGAAAUAAGGAAAUGGGGUCAAUAAUAACAUGGAGUGUGAGAAGCAACUGGAGAAAUGGUGAGGAGGAACUUUCAAGAUCCUUCCCUGAGACCACACCCUAUUAAAAGACUAGACCAAUGUUUUUUUGGAACAUCAUGUAUGCGUUUAGAGAAAAUGAAAGUACAGGCCACGCUGAAACAAAUCGGAAGAAUAGAUUAUCUUUAACGAAAGAGAAACUAACCUAUGCCCCUACUGCCGUCAGCGCCUACUGUGCUGCCGUGUGAGGCAUGGUGAUUGCAGCUGUACAAUGCCCCCUGUGAUGCCUCACUGCACCAACGCGCCACCCACUCACGGAAAAGAGAGCCACCUAGUGAAAUACUGUUCUCAUCUCUGAUGUAGGUACUUCCUUUCCGUCAACUCUAGAGCCCAAGGAUGGAGAUUAUUACCACAUAUUACCUAAAAUACCCUACAUGUCUUUCCUGAAAUGCACUGCUAAUCAUCACAGUUAACACCUUUUAAGUCUGUGGCUCAUAAUAUCCAGUAAACAGUGUUCGAGCAUAUGUCAUGACACUUCUGAUAAGCAAUCUAGGAGAUUAUUACUAUCUUCUCAUUUUGGAAAUAAGAAAACUGGGAUCAGUAAGAUGAAUCCUUUUGUUGUGUUUUCUACAAACAUUUACUGAGCAUCUAUUACUUUUCAGGCUCUGUCCAGGUUACUGUGGAUAUCAUGGUAAAAGAGGCAUUGUCCCUAUCUUGGAGAAACCCACCUUCUGGUAGAGAUACCAGAGAAUGGAGAAGUGAUAAGAAUGCAAGAUGAUGGGUGCAGUAAUUAAGGUCAGAACAAAGUACCCCAGGUACACAGAUGAGGAUCAGAAAUACAAUCUUUGUAUUUUAUAUCAGCUUUCCUAAGAAUUUUGUAAGAUUCUUCAAUAGCUUUACAAUGCCCCUACAAAGUAGGUAGAAUUGUAGCGUUUACGUCUUGUAGGUUGUAAGACACCAAUGCCCAUCUUGAAAAUAACUUUUGAAAAUCAAUAAAACUCAGAAAAAUUAUGGCCCAGAUAUUAUACAUUGCUGAAUGUACAUUUUCCAAUCUCGUCUCUUUCUACUGCUCUCCAUCAAAAGAUAUGUAGAAUAUAAGCUUCUGUAAUAAUAGCUUUUAUUCAUUUCAUUCCCCUGCAGAUAUAGAUUACAUCUAAACCAAAAGAAAUUAAAGAGAAACUCUUAAUCCUA